UAAGCCCUUUAAUGAAAAGGAAUAACGCAGGGAAUCCGGGCUGACAGGCACUCUCCCUCAUAAGGCAUGGUGUGACUCAUAAUUGGUGCUUGCCGUUAUGUGGCUAGGAAAAUAGCAGCAUCGCUGCGUAAUGAGGACCUGGGAGAGCCUGUGCUGGCAUGCAAGAAUCGGGUGUGCCAAGCUGGUGCCACCCCAAAAAACAAAACCAUGUCACAAUCUACCAGUUGCUCUCUUACUUCGGGGUGCCCCCCUGCUGCCACUUCAGAAGUUGGGACCCAGAAGCCUCAUUCUUGAUGGGAUAAAAUAAGGGCCGGCGAAAGGGAAAUGAUGGUUCGUUUGACAACUCCUGUACAUGCGGGAAUUGAACAGACCUGAGGAUCCUUUUGCUUCCCCCCUCAUCACUAUUUCACUAUGAAAACUCUUAAAAUAAAGAAAUACUUGUGUACCCAAA
Molecule: long non-coding RNA, 451 nt
Organism: Elgaria multicarinata webbii
Lineage: Eukaryota; Metazoa; Chordata; Lepidosauria; Squamata; Anguidae
Exons: 3
Source: RefSeq, a predicted model, not a curated record